GGAUUCAAAGUAAAACAUGUAAAGGACCUUUUUGAUGAAAACGGAAAAUUUAAAGAACUAGAACAUUUCAGUCAUAUCUUAAAAGUGAAAGCCAACUGGCUAUGUGAAUACACAAUUCUGAAAAUAAUUUUCAGAAAAAUUGAAACACAAUUUGCUUGCCAAAAAUCCAUAUAUAUUAACAUCAAGGAUGUAGUAAAAGUACAUUUAAGAAAUAACACAACUGUAUUAAUCAAGGAAUUAAAUAGUCAAGUAAUUUAUAAUAUAAUUAUAUCCAUGACAUUUGUUUUGCCAAUAUAUGGAAACAAAUGGUCUAGAGAAUUAAACUAGUUUUAAGGAAUUUAGAAAUUCAAUUUAUAUAUCUAGAGUAAGAAAUAUCUUAAACAAAUCAGUAGCAGAAUUCAAUUACAAAUUAUUACAUAACUUGACACACUGUAAUUUAUCACUGAGCAAAUGGCAAAAGGAACAAUCUAGUUUUUGCCAAUUAUGUAAUGUUAUAGAAAAUUCAAAGCACUUACUCUUUGAGUGCAAAAAUGUACAAUUUAUUUGGAACACUGUUGGAAAAUACUUCAAUUUCAAGAUUACAUGGAAAUUAAUUGUUCUAGGUUUUUAUCUACAAGAAAACAACACAACAAACAGCUACAACAAUGUGAUAUCUUUUAUUGCUAUGAAAAUACAUAAAUUUAAAAUGAAAUGUAGAUUUGAUAAUUGUGAAGAAAGUGUUCAUGGUCUCAUGGUGUAUAUUAAGAAACAGUUAUUUUAUGAAUUCUAUGCAUGUGAAAAAAUCAAAGCAAAUUAUUUUUAUAAAAUACUAAAGGAUAUUGCUGAAAAGAUAUAAUGUAUAUACAAUGUAUAUAUAUUUUGCCUGUAUGCAUUAUAAUAAGUUGAUAUACUUGAAGGGAACAGUCCUUCAAGAUAAACAGGUCGGGGGCACAAACUUGGACUCUGAAUUAUGUGACCCCUGACUACAUGUAUAAUAUAAUAUUGUACAAUUUUAUUAUUAUUAUCUUUUUAUUUCUGAAAUUGUAUGUAUAUGAAUUAUAUGAACUAAAUGCCUUUCUAAUCCAAGGGGCCCCUGGCACCCUAGGUGAGGAAUACUUAGGGGAUAUCUUCAGAUAUUUUACCCCAAAACUAGUACAUGUACUUACUUAAUAAAAUCAAUGUCAACUGUAUUAAAAAAAAAAAAAAAAAAUGGAAAAAUUAUAUGAAAAUAAUAGUCUCCAGUAAUACCUACAUUUUAACUCAUAUGAGAAAUCUUAUAACAGUUUCAAUAUUUAGACAGAUCAUGAGAUGGAAACCAAUGUAAUUGAGAUGAAAAGGGAGUACAACUCAAAAUAUCAAGGAAAAACAAGAAAGGCCAUUGUGAAUCAGCAGAUGAUGUCCUAUACAACCAUCCUUCCAUGACACAUGCAAUGGGAAGGAAACAAUGCCUGUCUGAAACUCCAAAAUGACAUUUCCAGAAAGCUGAAGAAUGGAUAAAAAUGUAUCUACCAUCUUACAACCCAGAUUUCAUUCCACUGAAAAGAAAAGGGACAGGAAAUUUUGCAUGUCCAUGUCUUGGAAGGUGAAUAGGUGAAAAGUCAAUAGAUGCUUACCAUAUCAGAUGCUUGCAGAGGAUACUGGGGAUAAAGUAGCAGAAAAUUAUGGAAAACAGGGAAGUGGCAGCCAGGACUAUGGAGGGGAGGUGACAAUGACAGUGAGAUGGCGUUAGGUUGGACACCAGAAGGGAAGAAGGCAUUUAAGAGACCGAAAACAACCUGGAGAGGAACAGUUGGAGCAGAAAGAAAGAUUGCAGAAUGGAGAAACUUGAAUGAGAUCAAGAUGAUAGCAAUAGAACAGAGCGGAUUGGAGAGAGUCUUGGUCCUAUGUGUUUUGGCAUGGAGAGAACUAAGUAAUGUCUAGAUUGUUGGAGAUCGGAUGACCAGGAAUAUGAAUGGAUGUGCUGGAAACUGUACUAAGACCCUUAUGUAUUUGGAUUGAUUUACAUACCAUCAUGAGUUUGCUAUGAAAAACUUGAAAAAAUCCUCAACUCAUAUUGUAGCUGACAUUAUACAUUUGUACUUAUUUAAAAUAUUUCAAAUGAACAUAUUUUUAGACAUACAAUAUCUAAACUUUGGAGUCCAAGUACAUCUCCACAUUGGAUAAUAGGUUAUGAUAUAUGUGUGUGAAAUCUUUUCCUAUGGUAUGCACAUGUUAACACAUUAGUUUAAAUGAUGAUGUAUAUCUUAUGACUAUGGAAGAGAAUGUGUUCAGAACAGAAUAUGUGUUUAGAAGAGUUGUUGCCCUUGAAUGUAAUUCAUUAUUUACAUGGGGUUGAAAAAUAAUCCAGCACACAGUAGUACUAAAUGCAUUAUGUUAAAAUACAUUUAUGAAUGGUAUAAGUGAUACUGUCAGUUAUUGAUUAAUACACU
Long non-coding RNA from Ostrea edulis (European flat oyster), 2408 nucleotides. RefSeq lists it as uncharacterized. The transcript is spliced from 3 exons. The record is from RefSeq and is a predicted model, not a curated record. Lineage: Eukaryota; Metazoa; Mollusca; Bivalvia; Ostreida; Ostreidae.